ACAAAGUAAACCUUUAACCAUGACUUAGUUAAUGAACUCCCCCCCAUAAAUUUUAUGCAAAUAAUUUCAAUUUCGUAAAUCUAUAUUAGACUCCAAUUUGUCCAAAUACACAAACAGAGCUUUAAAACUCUAUCAAUGAACUUCUAACCACAUAUUACACCAUCAGAUUUUCAUUUGUUAAAUUUAGAACCAUGCCAUUUGAAUUAAUGAGACUCAUUUAAUAGAUUCUCUACACACUCCCUUUAGCCUUGUUUCUUCUCUCAUAGACUUUCUUGAUAGGGGUGCAUCCUAACAUAGUAACAUUGGAUUAUGUCAUGUUAAGUUCACACAUAGAGAAUGUUGUUUUUUGUAAUUUGAAAAUUACGACGGAGUUUUGAAACUAUUAUCGGGGUGAGUCACGAUCAGGUCGCUUUCUUUAAGACGUUUCGCGGCACUACCUAAGUUGUGCAACGUAGAUUAGCAACCGCGCCGUCUCCAGGAUAAAACAGCCCAGAUUCUUACUGUACGAUUAAAGGCUGCACUGCCAGAAAUCGCUCGAGAAUAACACCUCAGUAUGGUUUCGAAAAGUUUCGAAAAACCACUCUAAUAUGGCACGCAGACCACUCGAGAAACCAAAGAGGGAGGAAGAAAAGAACGGUUCGUCAACACAAACCGAGGGAGAUGAGAAGGGGAGAAAACCAGAGAAGAGGAUUCGAUUCUCGGUUUUGGAGUGAAGAAUCCCAUUCCCGAGCUCUCUAUUUAUAGAGGGGAAUUUUCCUCGUUUUCUCCGCCGACCCGGUUCGCGACCCGCCAAACCCAGCCCGCCCGGUCGGACGGACGGCGUCGUCGCCGCGCGCGCAUGUGGCUUAUAUAAUUUUUGGCUAGUGCUCACUCCGUUCACAAAAGUGGGUACCCCAAGGGCACACCCUUGGAAGUGAUUUCCCACAUAUAUAAACACUACUAGAGUGUGUUAUCUACCCAAUGUGGGACAUAAAAUUUUCAAUUCACACUUUACACUAGUUUCUACAUCAUUGUGUUUACAUUCCAAUGUCUCCUCAUAACAACUAGUAUACUCCAAGUUUUUGCCAAUAUACACUAGUGUUCCAACAGAGAAGCAAAAGGAUAUAAUGAAUUGUCCAGGAAAAUAUGAAAUCUAUAAUUUCAAAAGAGCUCCCAUAUCUUUAUGUGUAUAUGCAACAACUUUG
Molecule: long non-coding RNA, 1184 nt
Filed under: Medicago truncatula (barrel medic)
Lineage: Eukaryota; Viridiplantae; Streptophyta; Magnoliopsida; Fabales; Fabaceae
Description: long non-coding RNA (MTRU_LNC004576)
Source: RNAcentral